GAUGAACGCUGGCGGCGUGCCUAAUACAUGCAAGUCGAGCGAACAGAUGAGGAUCUUGCUCCUCUUACGUUAGCGGCGGACGGGUGAGUAACACGUGGAUAACCUACCUAUAAGACUGGGAUAACUUCGGGAAACCUGAGCUAAUACCGGAUAAUAUAUUGAACCGCAUGGUUCAAUAGUGAAAGACGGUUUUGCUGUCACUUAUAGAUGUAUCCGCGCCGCAUUAGCUAGUUGGUAAGGUAACGGCUUACCAAGGCAACGAUGCGUAGCCGACCUGAGAGGGUGAUCGGCCACACUGGAACUGAGACACGGUCCAGACUCCUACGGGAGGCAGCAGUAGGGAAUCUUCCGCAAUGGGCGAAAGCCUGACGGAGCAACGCCGCGUGAGUGAUGAAGGUCUUCGGAUCGUAAAACUCUGUUAUUAGGGAAGAACAAAUGUGUAAGUAACUAUGCACGUCUUGACGGUACCUAAUCAGAAAGCCACGGCUAACUACGUG
This 497-nucleotide ribosomal RNA is filed under the name uncultured bacterium. Its description in RNAcentral is "partial 16S ribosomal RNA". It matches the Rfam family "Bacterial small subunit ribosomal RNA", at positions 28 to 507 of the family's 1533-position model. The record is from RNAcentral.